CCUACGGGCGGCAGCAGUGAGGAAUAUUGGGCAAUGGGCGAAACCCUGACCCAGCCAUGCCGCGUGAGUGAUGAAUGUCUUCUGAGUGUAAAGCUCUUUCUGUCGUGACGUUGAUCACGGUAGCUUCUCAUUAAUCACUGGCCAACAUCGUUCCAGCAGCCGCGGUAAUACGGAGGGUGCGAGCGUUGUUCGGAAUGACUGGGCGUAAGGGGAGUGUAGGCGGUUAUGUAAGAUAGUCGUGAAAGGCCGGGGCUCAACCGGGGAACUGCCAGUAUGACUGUGUAUCUAGAGUACUGGAGAGGAUAGCGGAAGACGAGGUGUAGAGGUGAAAUUCGUAGAUAUUGGGAAGAACAUCGGUGGCGAAGGCGGCUAUCUGGACAGUUACUGACGCUGAGGCUCGAAAGCAUGGGGAUCAAACAGGAUUAGAUACCCGUGUAGUC
This 440-nucleotide ribosomal RNA is filed under the name uncultured bacterium. Its description in RNAcentral is "partial 16S ribosomal RNA". It matches the Rfam family "Bacterial small subunit ribosomal RNA", at positions 338 to 795 of the family's 1533-position model. The record is from RNAcentral.